This is an RNA transcript of Nomascus leucogenys (northern white-cheeked gibbon), 3791 nucleotides long. It is a transcript of the gene named protein IMPACT, with no coding region annotated. The record is from RefSeq and is a predicted model, not a curated record. The transcript is spliced from 12 exons. NCBI's taxonomy places the organism in Eukaryota, Metazoa, Chordata, Mammalia, Primates, Hylobatidae.
GCGGUUCCGGGUCGGGCCGCGCCGCAGCCAGCUCUCGGCUCGCAGCCGCAGCGCCCCGCCCCCGCGCUCCGGACCUGGCAGGCGGCGGCUGCAGGGCAGGUCCAGGGGCCACAUGGCUGAGGGGGACGCAGGGAGCGACCAGAGGCAGAAUGAGGAAAUUGAAGCAAUGGCAGCCAUUUAUGGCGAGGAGUGGUGUGUCAUUGAUGACUGUGCCAAAAUAUUUUGUAUUAGAAUUAGCGACGAUAUAGAUGACCCCAAAUGGACACUUUGCUUGCAGGUGAUGCUGCCGAAUGAAUACCCAGGUACAGCUCCACCUAUCUACCAGUUGAAUGCUCCUUGGCUUAAAGGGCAAGAACGUGCGGAUUUAUCAAAUAGCCUUGAGGAAAUAUAUAUACAGAAUAUCGGUGAAAGUAUUCUUUACCUGUGGGUGGAGAAAAUAAGAGAUGUUCUUAUACAAAAAUCUCAAAUGACAGAACCAGGCCCAGAUGUAAAGAAGAAAACUGAAGAGGAAGAUGUUGAAUGUGAAGAUGAUCUCAUUUUAGCAUGUCAGCCGGAAAGUUCGGUUAAAGCAUUGGAUUUUGAUAUCAGUGAAACUCGGACAGAAGUAGAAGUAGAAGAAUUACCUCCGAUUGAUCAUGGCAUUCCUAUUACAGACCGAAGAAGUACUUUUCAGGCACACUUGGCUCCAGUAGUUUGUCCCAAACAGGUGAAAAUGGUUCUUUCCAAAUUGUAUGAGAAUAAGAAAAUAGCUAGUGCCACCCACAACAUCUAUGCCUACAGCUUCAACAAUCUCGUAUCUAAGCCAUGUAAAAAGAGAAAAAAAGAAUAUAUUGUGAGGAUAAACAGACCUUCUUACAGGAUUGUGAGGAUGAUGGGGAAACAGCAGCUGGUGGGCGUCUUCUUCAUCUCAUGGAGAUUUUGAAUGUGAAGAAUGUCAUGGUGGUAGUAUCACGCUGGUAUGGAGGGAUUCUGCUAGGACCAGAUCGCUUUAAACAUAUCAACAACUGUGCCAGAAACAUACUAGUGGAAAAGAACUACACAAAUUCACCUGAGGAGUCAUCUAAGUCUUUGGGAAAGAACAAAAAAGUAAGAAAAGACAAGAAGAGGAAUGAACAUUAAUACCUGAAACUAUAGGAAAGGUUAAUUUGCCUAUAAUUAUAUAUACAUUCCAUAGUCAUCAAGGAAUAUAUUGUGCAGAGAGAGUAUCCUUGACUGCUCAAGUCAGCCAAUUCAGCAUGGAUACCAACAUUAGCUUUUCUUCUUUGGUUAUAUCAUCUGCCAAAAAUAGAGAACUUAUGAUCUAUUCAUGUGUGUUUCAGGCUUAUUUGGAGAACUAAUUUGCACUUAAUCACCACUUCAUCUAAUUUUAGCAAGGUAACAGUUGCCCAGGGCAGUACCUGAAUUAACUGUCCAUUUCAGUACAUGUCAAGUGCCUUUGUUAGGUGGAGAAGAAAUGUCUCUAGAGGAAUAUAAAUACCUGAUUUCUUGUCAUCGAGAUUCUUGUACUGUUAAAUGAAUAUUGCCUUUUACUGCUCUUUAUGGCUUAUUGGAAUAGGGGCUCAUUUAAGAUUGAUCUUGGAGAGUUUCUUCUUCUGAUUUUAGUUCAUAAGUAUGUCACCUUUCAUUUUAUAGUGUUCAUCGAGUAAUGGAUUAAGUGAAAAUCCAGGAGUAAUCCAUCUGCAGUUAUGUGCUGAGGUGAUAAUUCAUCCAACGUAUUUGUUAGCAUAAAUAUUAUGCUUCACUUUCUGUUGCAAAUUGAUGAUUGUGAAAUUUCAGAAAGUGAUUUUCUAGUCGGCUUUUUUUGUUUAAUUCUUGUAAUGUAAGCAAUAAAUAUGGAGUGUCAGUAGUCUCCCUCCACCCCAGAAAUGUGUUGGUGUAACAUUCUCGUUUCUUUUAACAACCUGGAAGUACCUUUCUUGUGAUCUUCACUGAGGAAUUAGAACUAUGAUAGAAGUUAGGCUGUGGUGAAUAGGACAUUUGUAGAGUGGGAUAGAGGUGGCAGAAUGACCCUGGUGUAGGGCAGGAGUAUGUUGUGUAGUUACAUCAAUUUGAUGCCUGCUUUCCAUCUGCACUCCAGACAGCUUUCUCAGUUCCAAGAUUUUGCAGAGAGAAGGAGCAAACCUUUUCAUUGGAAAAACAGAAACAACCCUCCCCCCAUUUUUUUCCUGCUAUUCACCAAACCUUUAUGUUUCUUUCAUCUUCCAGUUACCUCUAGGCAUUUAGACAAUGAAAUUUACCUUUGAGAUAUAACAAUAAGUGAUUAACUGUUCACUUUCAGAUGUAAUGGCAAACAAUUGUUAAAAGUUAUUAACUGAUCACAGAUUUGCCUGGACUUCCCUUCCCAGGGAGGAAACAGAAGUUAGGAGGCAACUUUGGGAUGGUGCUAGAGCAUGGAAAGCACAGAGAAUUGGACAAACAGGUCUUUUUCUCUUUUCUCUGAUGUUUUACCUUUAAAAGAUCCAACAUCCUUACCGUUGGUAUUUUUAGUAAGGUUAUAGUAAAUAGCUUUACACCAGGAUGGAUUCUGAAAUAUAAAUUCUAAAUUAUAUUUGUUAUAACUAUAUUUUAUGUUGUAUGUUAUCAAGAGUCAUCAGAGAAUGACCUUUUUGUGUUUGGAACACUUGGUUCCAUGAAAAGUAUGCUUUGUGUUUUAACUGUUAAAAUAAUUUAAAAAUUAAUUAUUUUACAUAAUUAAAUAAGUUAGAAACUAUUAACAUUAAAUAAUUUCCCAAUUUCAACAUGUCAAACCUAUGAAGGGAGAUAGGAAACAAUGAGAAACUUACUUUUGCUCCUUUAUACAGAAUUAUUAACUAUAUUUUACUAACUAAAAAACUCUAGUAUUCUUUACCUAAAGUCAAUUGGCUGGUAAGAGGGAGAGAUGCAAAAUUCUCCAGUUCUGAACUUGGAGCUAUUUCACUACUCUUAAUGGAAACUUGAACUAAUGAUAGAUAGUAUUUUUUUCCUCUAUAUAAAAUUUUUGUCUUGAUUAGGAGAUUUAUCAGUUCUCCAUAUAAUAAUUUUCUACAAUCAGAUCUAUGCUGUGGCAUAUUUUGCUUUAUUUAAAAAUUUUUUUUUAGAGAUGAGGUCUUGCUCUGUCACCUAGGCUGGAGUGCAGUGGCAUGAUCAUGGCUCACUGCAGCCUUGACCUUCCAGCCUGCCAAGUAGCUGGGAUUAUAGGCAUGUGCUAUCACACCUGGCUAAUUUUUAAAAUUUUUUGUAAAGAUAGGGUCUUCUUAUGUUGCCCAGGCUCGUCUUGAGCUCCUGGCCUCAAUCGAUCUUCCUGCCAAGGUAUUGGAAUUACAGGUGUGAGCCACCAUGCCUGGCCUGCUUUGCCAUAUUUUAUAGUGUGUUAAUUACAAAUAGUCUUCAUAUGCCAGAAUAUAAGAGCAAGUUUUAUCUGCUUUUUAGAUGGGAAUUGCAGAAGCUACAUCAAAAGUAUGCUUUGAGGUAUAUGUACUGAAACAGAGCCUUUCUGAAGAGAAUUAUAUCAAACUAAUUACAACCAAGAAAUAAUAGUAUGAAGUGGAUACUGUUUGGAGGACAGGAAAAUUUAUUGGGAAAAUUACAUAAUCCCUCUGAUUCCACUAUCCAGAGAUAGCCAUUAUUAUUAAUAUUUGGUAUGUACAUCCUUAUAUUAUUUUUUUCUUACGCAUGAUUUUGUAUAUAUGGUUAUUUUUCUUUCCAUAAAAAUGGUAUUAAAUUGUAUAUACUGUUUUGUAGCCUACAUAUUUCAUAUAGAAGUAUAUUGUUCACAUUUUCCAUGUCAAUAAAUAUUCUAUGGCUUAAAUUUC